Molecule: transfer RNA, 69 nt
Filed under: Marmota monax (woodchuck)
Lineage: Eukaryota; Metazoa; Chordata; Mammalia; Rodentia; Sciuridae
Description: tRNA.Ala
Source: RNAcentral
GUGGUAAGCUUAGUGGUAGAGCACUUGCCUAGCAUGUGUGAAGCACUGGGUUCAAUUCUUAGAACCACA